GACAAAUAAGAUAUGUUUUUUAAUUUGGGACUUUAGGUGUAUGGAACUCAUUCCUUCAUGAACAGCCACUUCUAGAGAUCCGCACUGUCCUUGCUGGGAACCUCCACAGGCAAAAUGGAUCCCAUUACAAGAUCUGAACAGAACAGAUGAAUGAUCUUAGCAACAGUAAAGGGAAAAAUGUUCUUGAAAAGACUUCACCUGGCUCCUGUACUCUGUCCAUCUCAAAGCUAACAGAUACCUCGUAUGAAGACAUGGAGAAAAAGGAAAGAGUUUCUGAACGCAGCAUUUGAAAUUAUCUCUUGUCCACAACAGAAUCAUUGAAGUGUUUUCCAUAUAGUAUAACAGAAGUACUGAAGACAGAAAUAUAUAAGAUCAAGGAAUAACGCAAGCUCCAGCAAGCCACAGUGAAAGACAUUAUUGAAAUAAAGUUCAGUUGCAAGAAAGUAUUGGAUUAUCUUGGCCCGUCCUGUUUAAAAGCUAGAUCCAGGGCCCUAGGGACUUUGCAAAACCAAGCUCACCAAGGUGAGUUUAGUUCUGUGUUUUUUUCUGAACUGAUCUUGACUGGUUAUUAGGACAACACAUUUUUUGUACUUUGAAAUGUUUAGAACUUUUUAGAAAUGUUUGGAAAUGUAUGAUUUUUAACUGUAAGAUUUUUACUGUCUUUACGACCCUAAAAGGUCACAUCUAUUAUAUCCUGCAGUCAAAGCAGCCCUGCAGGGAAUCUUAUCUCUGACAUAUGCCAAAUUAUGCAGAAUCUCAUCCAUCUAAUUACAUAUCAUAUAUAGUGACUUUUAAAGAGUAUUCUUAGGCCCCGAGACUGCUACUAACCUUUAAAAAGUGCUCAAUCCAUUUGUUGUGCCA
This is a long non-coding RNA of Falco peregrinus (peregrine falcon), 861 nucleotides long. RefSeq lists it as uncharacterized. The transcript is spliced from 3 exons. Lineage: Eukaryota; Metazoa; Chordata; Aves; Falconiformes; Falconidae. The record is from RefSeq and is a predicted model, not a curated record.